This 253-nucleotide ribosomal RNA is filed under the name uncultured bacterium. Its description in RNAcentral is "partial 16S ribosomal RNA". It matches the Rfam family "Bacterial small subunit ribosomal RNA", at positions 524 to 776 of the family's 1533-position model. The record is from RNAcentral.
UACGUAGGGUCCGAGCGUUGUCCGGAGUUACUGGGCGUAAAGCGCACGUAGGCGGACAUUUAAGUCAGGGGUGAAAUCCCGGGGCUCAACACCGGAACUGCCUUUGAUACUGGGUGUCUAGAGUAUGGAAGAGGUGAGUGGAAUUCCGAGUGUAGAGGUGAAAUUCGUAGAUAUUCGCAAGAACACCAGUGGCGAAGGCGGCUUACUGGUCCGGUUCUGACGCUGAGGCGCGAAAGCGUGGGGAGCAAACAGG